RNAcentral lists this ribosomal RNA (253 nucleotides) under uncultured bacterium. Its description in RNAcentral is "partial 16S ribosomal RNA". It matches the Rfam family "Bacterial small subunit ribosomal RNA", at positions 524 to 776 of the family's 1533-position model. The record is from RNAcentral.
UACAGAGGUGGCAAGCGUUGUUCGGAAUCACUGGGCUUAAAGGGCGCGUAGGCGGUCGGAAGGGUGUCCUGUGAAAUCCCUCGGCUCAACCGAGGAACUGCGGGGCAAACCGUUCGACUUGAGGCAGGUAGGGGCCGGUGGAACUCUGGGUGGAGCGGUGAAAUGCGUAGAUAUCCAGGGGAACGCCAAUGGUGAAAACAGCCGGCUGGGCCUGUCCUGACGCUGAGGCGCGAAAGCCAGGGGAGCAAACGGG